RNAcentral lists this ribosomal RNA (466 nucleotides) under uncultured bacterium. RNAcentral describes it as "partial 16S ribosomal RNA". It matches the Rfam family "Bacterial small subunit ribosomal RNA", at positions 28 to 507 of the family's 1533-position model. The record is from RNAcentral.
AUUGAACGCUGGCGGCAUGCUUUACACAUGCAAGUCGAGCGGCAGCGCGGGGGCAACCCUGGCGGCGAGCGGCGAACGGGUGAGUAAUGCAUCGGAACGUAUCCUCGAGUGGGGGAUAACCCAGCGAAAGUUGGGCUAAUACCGCAUGAGCUCUGAGGAGGAAAGCGGGGGACCUGCGAGGGCCUCGAGCUGGGGGAGCGGCCGAUGUCCGAUUAGCUAGUUGGUGGGGUAAAGGCUUACCACGGCGUCGAUCGGUAGCUGGUGUGAGAGGGUGAGCGGCGAGAUGGGGACUGAGAGACGGCCCAGACGCCUAGGGGAGGCAGCAGUGGGGAAUAUUGAACAAUGGGAGGACGCCUGAUGAAGGAACGCAGAGUGCGGGAGGACGGCCUUCGGGUUGGAAACCGGUUUCGCCUGUGACGAAGAGGGAGUGACGGUAAUGGGUAAAGAAGCAGGGGCUAAGUACGUG